UAUACGCAGUCAGUACCAUAUGAUUGCACAAAAUCCCAAACAGCCCAUUUAUGACCAAGAGGCCAGACAGAAUAAUCGAAUAAGUAAAGCCUAUUUAUUUAUUUUUUAUUUUUUUUGGAGGGACAUAAUCGAAUUUGAACCAAAAUUUCAAAACAAAAUGGAAAUAAAGUGAAGGGACUGUCCUAGAGGUUAAAUUCAAUAUGCCCUCCUUCAUCUCCGUUCUUGAGCGCCCAUUUUCCGUCAUCACUUCAGUCGAGCCAAACUCCAUACAGUUCCAAGGUAAUGCCCAGUUGAACUUAUUCAAGAGAUUUGCUAGCACAAGCUCAUUGUUGGCUAUGGCAAAUAAGAUCCCUGGACAGCCCCUCCUGCCGGACCCGAAUGGAAUUAGUUCGAAAUCUUGGCCUUUAAAAUCUAUUGAAGAGUUCAAGAACCUUUCUGGAUGGAACUCCUCGGGCUCUUCCCAAGUUGCUGGAUCUCGAUGAAUUGCCCAAGCAUUGGUUAUGACUCGUGUCCCCGCAGCAAUUUCAUAGCCAUUGAUUUUGACAUCUUGAGUUGAUUCACGAGGCACCAACAAUGGAAUUGGUGGAUGUAGUCGAAGUGUCUCCUUGAUCACUGCCUUCAAGUACUUCAUAUUUUCCAGAUCCUCUUCUGAUACAUCUGCUUGUCCGCUGCAGUUGCAGAUGAUACAACAAGAGUUGGCUUGCUGCCAAGGUGAAGCAACAUAAGGUCACCAUGUUGCUGAGACAGGGAUUGAAGAGUUAGGUGAGGGUAUUUGCCGAGUUGGUGAAGGUUCCCCAAUAUUGGUAGCCUUCGAGGAGAUGGGGGAAAGUUUUUUCUUAUGGUUGCAUUGAGACGGAGCCAUUUAUAGAGGAAGAAUGUAAAAAUGAAGAAGAGAAGGAUGGACAAUGGGUGCAAAAAUAGCAAAUACAUUUGUUCCUUUAUCAUGUUAAUUCCCAUUGGAUAUGAAACAGCAUGAAACAGACUUAUCUUGGAAUUGCGGAUGGCCAGAAUUGAGACACUUGGUUAGUCACCAUCCUAAGUUUUACUGUCCCCAACUGAGUAGAUGGUUUUAACUGGACUUUGCAAUUGUUGGCUUCAAAUUACUCUACAAGGCCAGAGUAGGAGUUGUCUCUCGCUGGUGGUAUAUUUCUGAACAAUAUGAAGACGUUGGGAAGAGAAGAGUGUAUUUUCGAGGUUGGUAAGGAAUCAAAUAUCUGGUUUUUGCAGAACUUUUAGUACGCGAAGAAUGUGAAGCUUUUGCUCAAAUCUGGGUUCCUGCAAGUGUCUGUGCGUGGUAUGUGUAGUCUCUCUACACUUCUACAGGAUCCGCUGUACCAGAGAGCCACUACUGCUAGUACUGCAGGGUCUCUAUCGCUUUAAUUGUAUUUGAGACCGCCUCUUGAACCAGGUUGGUAGCAGUCAUGAAGUGCUCUAUCAACCACAUUUUCUCCCUCUUGUUACAUUCUUAGGGUUAUUUUUGAAUUGUAUAAUUUUUCAUUAUCUCUGAUGUACUGUGGUAGUGUGGUGCCUUACUAAGCUUAUUUACUGCUUGGUUUUGUAAUACAAGCAUUUGGCAUUGUUGAAUUGUUUAGCAUUCAAGUAUUCAACCAGUGAA
This is a long non-coding RNA of Spinacia oleracea (spinach), 1615 nucleotides long. RefSeq lists it as uncharacterized. Lineage: Eukaryota; Viridiplantae; Streptophyta; Magnoliopsida; Caryophyllales; Amaranthaceae. The transcript has 4 exons. The record is from RefSeq and is a predicted model, not a curated record.